This 75-nucleotide transfer RNA is filed under the name Macropharyngodon ornatus (ornate leopard wrasse). RNAcentral describes it as "tRNA-Val". It matches the Rfam family "tRNA". Rfam says of the family: Transfer RNA (tRNA) molecules are approximately 80 nucleotides in length. Their secondary structure includes four short double-helical elements and three loops (D, anti-codon, and T loops). Further hydrogen bonds mediate the characteristic L-shaped molecular structure. tRNAs have two regions of fundamental functional importance: the anti-codon, which is responsible for specific mRNA codon recognition, and the 3' end, to which the tRNAs corresponding amino acid is attached (by aminoacyl-tRNA synthetases). tRNAs cope with the degeneracy of the genetic code in two manners: having more than one tRNA (with a specific anti-codon) for a particular amino acid; and 'wobble' base-pairing, i.e. permitting non-standard base-pairing at the 3rd anti-codon position. Lineage: Eukaryota; Metazoa; Chordata; Actinopteri; Labriformes; Labridae. The record is from RNAcentral.
UCAGAGCAUAGCUAAAUAAUGUAUAGCAUCUCCCUUACACUGAGAAGACAUCCGUGCAAACCGGAUUGCCCUGAA